Long non-coding RNA from Cyprinus carpio carpio, 1680 nucleotides. The record is from Ensembl. NCBI's taxonomy places the organism in Eukaryota, Metazoa, Chordata, Actinopteri, Cypriniformes, Cyprinidae.
GACGCCAUUUUCUUUGCUCGCUAUGCGGCGCACAUGAGGACGGAAAACGAUGAGGAUGUGAUUUAUUUUCUAUCAGGGAAAUCUGAAAAGAGAUAUUUUCUUUCACUCACGAUGGGGAGAAGACGGGGAAUUUGGUUUUAUCAAAGGAAAACAGCAUAAAUUUGAAUCGCUAUGCGGUGUAGACGCAGAGGUUGCUUGGAAAGGGAAGCGUUUUAUCUAAUUUAAAAUAUGUAUUUUAUUACAUCAUAUUGAUUUAUAGCGACAUUAAUAUGUUGUGCGCUCCUACACUUUCCUCAGAGAAAUAUUUUCUUUCACUCGCGAAGCGGAGCAGACGGGGAAGUUGGUUUUAACAAGAAAAACACCGAAAACAGAGCCCUGCCUCAGCGCAAUGAGAUCAGCAUGGAAUUCAGGAAUUGUGACCUAUUUUCCAAAGCACUUUUGUGAUGCUGCAAGUGGGAGUGGAUUUCUUGCUUAGCUGGAAACUGCAGAGAUUCACAUCUUGUCGUCCUGAAAAAAAGAAAGAGACAACUUUCUCCAAGGAGGUCCAAACGCCAUUGGCAAAGACUUUGUUCAGUGAUCAGUAACACACAUUCAGCCAGGGCCGUCCUUAGGGGGGUGCAACUGGUGCACCGGGCCCCGCACUUGAGGGGUAAACUGACUGAAUGCCCCCACCUUGGGAACGUGAUUGGACCAUCAGCUAAGUACGGCCCUGCAUUCAGCUUUGAUGGUAAUGAAUGAGAUGCUGUGGUUUAAGCAGAUAAAUGUAAGCACUAUAAACCAAAUGAAAUUCAGAAUACAUAUGGACCAAAUAAGAAUACGUAUUUUGUGCCUUUGCACUGAUUUGCUUUGGCAUUUUUUACAUUUUUGUAAGAACAUGUUCUUUACAUGUAUUGAAAACACUGAAAGUGAAGACAUUUUGGUGCAGGGAAAAAGAGUUACAGUGUUUCAAUUAAAAUAAAUACAAUUUUACACUUUCGAAAGUGUUAUUUUACCUCCAAAAUGGAGGGAGUGUUAAAUUUAACUUGAAUUGAGUUCAUUGUACACUGGCUUUCUUGCUGUGUAGCCGGUUUAAAUGACUUUCUUGAGAGAUGCGUACGCAGAUUGCUCUUUCAAACCCUCAAUGCCUCUAUUAGAGAUCAGAAGCACAUAUCAUAAACAUGUCCUGGUAACUACACCUCUCUAAAAUACCUUUGCAACCGCAUCUGGAUGCAAUAAAAAUGUUCUCUGAAAUGAUGGAACCAAAAAUGACAUGUUUAUAUCCCUGGAAGGAUGAAACUGGCUUAAGAAUGAGCAAAACCUUUCCAUUUGAGAGCAAAACUGGUUAUAGCAGGGAACUGCAUCAUGGCAAUUGUUGGUGGUUUGUUAUGAGCUCUUAUAUCAUUUGUGUACAUAAUGUUUAGUAUAAUAUUAUGCUUACCUCAAUUCAGUUCAAAUUUGGUAUGCUGUUUCAUUCAAUGUUUCAGCUGUUUCUCACAGACAGAGCCAUUAAGGAAACUCUUUAUUCUAAGUGUAAGGUCUUUCUGAUGAUUCAUCUUUCAGUCAAUUAUAGCAUGUUUUUGUCAAAGUGUUUGCAUAUUCUCAUUUUACUCCAUUCAGUUACUGUCAUCCUUUUUUCUUUUUUCUUUUUUUUGGAGUGAACUGAUCAAACCUCAUUUUUUUUCGGAAUCCAUUUGUACAACA